AGUUCCGUCGUCUAGUGGUCUAAGACAUUCCGUUGUCAGCGGAAAAUCGCGGGUUCAAAUCCCGUCGGGACUG
Molecule: transfer RNA, 73 nt
Filed under: Obscuribacter sp. (SeqCode)
Lineage: Bacteria; Bacillati; Candidatus Melainabacteria; Candidatus Obscuribacterales; Obscuribacteraceae (SeqCode)
Description: tRNA-Asp
Rfam family: tRNA
About the family: Transfer RNA (tRNA) molecules are approximately 80 nucleotides in length. Their secondary structure includes four short double-helical elements and three loops (D, anti-codon, and T loops). Further hydrogen bonds mediate the characteristic L-shaped molecular structure. tRNAs have two regions of fundamental functional importance: the anti-codon, which is responsible for specific mRNA codon recognition, and the 3' end, to which the tRNAs corresponding amino acid is attached (by aminoacyl-tRNA synthetases). tRNAs cope with the degeneracy of the genetic code in two manners: having more than one tRNA (with a specific anti-codon) for a particular amino acid; and 'wobble' base-pairing, i.e. permitting non-standard base-pairing at the 3rd anti-codon position.
Source: RNAcentral